This 256-nucleotide ribosomal RNA is filed under the name uncultured bacterium. RNAcentral describes it as "partial 16S ribosomal RNA". It matches the Rfam family "Bacterial small subunit ribosomal RNA", at positions 524 to 776 of the family's 1533-position model. The record is from RNAcentral.
UACGUAGGGGGCGAGCGUUGUCCGGAUUCAUUGGGCGUAAAGCGCUUUAAGGCGGUUCGCUAAGUCGCGUGUGAAACCUCCAGGCUCAACCUGGAGACGCCACGCGAUACUGGCGUGACUAGAUGUUCGGUAGGGGAGGUCUGGAAUUCCUGGUGUAGCGGUGAAAUGCGCAGAUAUCAGGAGGAACACCGGUGGCGAAGGCGGGACUCUGGGCCGAUACUGACGCUGAGGAGCGAAAGCGUGGGGAGCGAACAGG